AUACGGGGGGUGCAAGCGUUAAUCGGAAUUACUGGGCGUAAAGCGCGCGUAGGCGGUUUGCUCAGUCGGAUGUGAAAGCCCAGGGCUCAACCUUGGAACUGCAUACGAUACUGGCAAACUAGAGUGUGAGAGAGGAUAGUGGAAUUUCCGGUGUAGCGGUGAAAUGCGUAGAUAUCGGAAGGAACAUCAGUGGCGAAGGCGACUGUCUGGCUCAACACUGACGCUGAGGUGCGAAAGCGUGGGUAGCAAACAGAAUUAGAUACCCCAGUAGUCC
This 274-nucleotide ribosomal RNA is filed under the name uncultured bacterium. Its description in RNAcentral is "partial 16S ribosomal RNA". It matches the Rfam family "Bacterial small subunit ribosomal RNA", at positions 523 to 796 of the family's 1533-position model. The record is from RNAcentral.